UAUAUUCUAAUAUGGCAGAUUAGUGUAAUAGAUUUAAGCUCUAUAAAUGUAAUAAAUAUUACUAUUAGAA
RNAcentral lists this transfer RNA (70 nucleotides) under Ceratosolen bisulcatus. RNAcentral's name for it is "tRNA-Leu". The record is from RNAcentral. Lineage: Eukaryota; Metazoa; Arthropoda; Insecta; Hymenoptera; Agaonidae.